RNAcentral lists this long non-coding RNA (1037 nucleotides) under Sorghum bicolor (sorghum). Its description in RNAcentral is "long non-coding RNA (SBIC_LNC012974)". Lineage: Eukaryota; Viridiplantae; Streptophyta; Magnoliopsida; Poales; Poaceae. The record is from RNAcentral.
GGAAGAAAACUUGAUCUGAAGUCUAAGUUGUUAACGGAUAUGAUAUGGAAAGGUUGAGCUGCUGUUUAUCUAUUCCUAUAGAUGCUAGAAUUCUAGAGAAUUUUAUCUUUGAAAAUCUUUAAAAUAUCACACGAUGAGUUUCUGUAUGAUGAGAGUUUAAAUUCCUACCACAGCCAUAUAUACAUGCUUGCUAGACUUUGAGCCACACAUGUACUUUUUACUGCUUAUGAGCAUUGAGUGUGGUCAAGCUGUGUAGACCCUUAGGAGCUUGUCAUGUGGUUAAAUCAAGAUUCACUUGCACGUUCACUCACAUAUGUUGUUUCCACUCUAGAAGUACGCAUCCACAUAUAUCCACCCAUUUCCAUCUCCAAAACCAACCAAAAAUAUUCUACUCCUAAUCCGGGAGAGAAUAGCCAAAAAUAUUUUUGUUUUUCCCUGUGAAAUAAAUGCUCGAGUUAUUUUGAUUACUACCACUUGCUAUAUUAUUUCAGGAGAUGAGUGCUCUAAAAAAAGAGAAGAAAAGAGAUACGAGGAAAUAAAAAGGGGCAAGUGCCCGGAACCUCGAAAGAAAAGAAAAAGUGAGACGAGAGGUAAAAGUGGACAAGUGUCCGACAGUAAAAUUAGGGGUACAAGAUACCCACCUGAGAGGAAAGAAAAAGAAAAUAUAGAGCAUCUCAUUCUUCUCAAAAGUUUCAAAAGAGCAAGAAAGGUAUGUAUCCUCUCAAAAGAGCACAAGUAGAAUUAGACUUUCACCAUUGUUAUCACCAUCAUCACCAUACAUCAUUCAUUCGCCACACAUGCACAUCUUGAUUUGACUUAUUGACUUGUUUCUUUGGAUCCAUGGUUUGACUAUGCAAUAAAUAUCUUGUAAGUAUGUAUAUUCUAUCUCCCAUCUAUGAGCUGUAGAUAUCAAAAGCCUUAUUAGAGUAGGAUGAGAGAGAAGGCAAUGUCACUAUGCUUUAUACCAUAAAUACCACAUAUUUUGAGAGAGAAGGCAUAUACCAUCACUGCCUUGGUAAGGAUCCAGAAAUACCACA